This is an RNA transcript of Mytilus trossulus (common blue mussel), 2059 nucleotides long. RefSeq lists it as uncharacterized. NCBI's taxonomy places the organism in Eukaryota, Metazoa, Mollusca, Bivalvia, Mytilida, Mytilidae. The transcript is spliced from 10 exons. The record is from RefSeq and is a predicted model, not a curated record.
AAGCCUCUGUAUGAAGCAUUGAUCUCCUAUGUGAAGGCAUAGAAAGUGUACUAUGGCGACCCGAUGGCGGUAACAGAGAACAACAAAAACUAUUUUGUGGAGAAUUUCAAAGAUAAACAUCCAGGAUAUGCUAUUAUUUGUAUGGCUGUUGUUAAUAAUGCCAUUGUGCAUGUUGUAUCAACUGAGGCAGACAAAACUCCAGAUCAGGCUGCAGACAAUAAUAUUGUAUCAAUACCAUACUCUUCUGUGCUGGAAACUAACGUCUAUGAUUUGCAUGUUGGCAUCAUGAGAUCGCUGAUAUCCAAAUCAGCUAAACCAAUCACUUCUCUAUCUAUAUAUAAAUGGUACUGAAGAAGAAUGUGUAGAAACUGUCAACCAUGAUCCAAUAGAGCCUUAGAAAAUAUGAGAAGGGGACAAGGAAAUGCAGGAGACCGAUAAAGAACAAGGGGGCAUAAUUUUUCAAGACAGGACAGGAGAAAGGGCAAGAACCAGAGGGUUAGAUGGAAGGAUAGAUCGUGAUCUUGAAGGGAAUUUGGUAAUACCCUAAGAUGAUGUUGUGAAGCUGUUACCUCAUCAUAUAGCCGAAUGUUUAUUCAGAAGGUAUAUAUUGUAUCACAAUAAAGGAGUAUUUCUAAACAGAUUGGUUCCCUAAUGUCAUCUUAAAUGUAUAAAGACUGUAUACCACUUUCCAUAGGGGAAUGAACAGAUUACCAGUUCACAGCAAAUGAAAGUUGCAUUUAUAAUGCAGUGUCCAUUAUCCUCUAUAGAAAUGAAGAUACGGCUGUGGUACUGAAGCUGGCUGAAGUGUUGAAAUGGUGGAUAAUAUGGUAUCAUUUCCAAAAUAUAUUGUAGAAGAAUUCAAAGAGAAAACUGACCUGUGGGUUAAAUCUACCCUGCAGCAGGUGAUUGCAGCCUCAACAGCAGAGGAAGUAGAGUAUGGAUGCAGAAAAGAGCUGGUCUCGACUAUUCAAUAUCCAUACAGGGACCCGAACUGUUUCCCAUUGUUGUUUCCCAUUGUUUUCAUGUCCAAUACAACAGCACUGCAAAAAAUACCAGCAGUACAGCAGCUGAUCGUGCCACCAUUAACAUUCUCAGCUAGACUAUCAUCUUUACACUUGGUUUUGAUGCCUACCAAGCCAAGACAUAUGUAAGAUAUAAAAGGUGUAGGCCUCACUUCAUCCUGCAAUCAGCUAACUAUUGUACAAAUAACAGCAUUGAAUACUACACAAAUUUGCAGGUUAAAGACCUGGAUAUGGAUUUCGAUGUUUAUAUACAAGUUCUAUGUUAAAAAGAAGAAGUAAACAAGCUUAUGGCUGAACUGGUUCUCACGAGACAUAAACCAGCUGACCACUGUCAAUCAUCUCAUGUUGACAACUUUAUAUCAUUCCAUGUUGAUCACUGCAUAUCAUUGUGACAUCCAUUUUCAUUUUUUUCUUCUUCAAAAAACGUUUAUCUGUAGAUAUUUGUUGCAAAACCUGUUGACUAAAUCUAUAUUUAAAGUGGCAACCCAUAUAUUUAAAUUUUUUUUAUGAUAUAUAAUCUCUUAUAUCAACUUUUUAGCUCACCUGGCCUAAAGGGCCAAUUGAGCUUUUCUCAUCACUUGUAGUCUGUCGUCAUUAACUUUAAUAAAAAUCUUUCCCUCUAAAACUACUGGGCAAAAUUUAACCAAACUUAGCCACAACCAUCAUUGGGUUAUCUAGUUUCAAAAAUGUGUCUGGUGACAGGGCAAACCAAACGGAUGGCCGCCACUGCUAAAGAUAGAACAUAGGGGUAAAAUGUAGAUUUUAACUUGUAUUUCUGAAACCAAAGCAUGUAGAGCAAAUCUGAAAAGGGGUAAAAUUGUUUAUCAGAUUAAGAUCUAUCUGCUUAGAAAUUUUCAGAUGAAGCAGACAACCCUUUGUUGGGUUGCUGCCCCUGAAUUAGUAAUUUUAAGGAAAUUUUUCCGUUUUUGGUUAUUAUCUUGAAUAUUAUUAUAGAUAGAGAUAAACUGUAAACAGCAAUAAUGUUCAGCAAAGUAAGAUCUACAAAAAAGUCAACAUGACCAAAAUGGUCAAUUGUC